GAAUACAGAAUAUACACAGAAAUUUCCAUAACAUUUAGAGAGUUUGAUGUUACAAAUUAGGGAUGGUCUCAUGACAAGGGCUAAAGUUGAUGGACAGUAGGUGACCCCGAGGAGUUGUCAAGAAGAAUAGUUUGAACUAUUUUACAGCAUUUAGCAACUUAUGAAGAAGUGAUUUCAGUGAUAAUACAAUUGGGUUUAUGGUCAGUUCCACAGACUGGAGCACUAGUGCCUU
RNAcentral lists this unclassified non-coding RNA (232 nucleotides) under Hevea brasiliensis (rubber tree). The record is from RNAcentral. Lineage: Eukaryota; Viridiplantae; Streptophyta; Magnoliopsida; Malpighiales; Euphorbiaceae.